GAUGAACGCUGGCGGCGUGCCUAAUACAUGCAAGUCGAGCGAACAGACGAGGAGCUUGCUCCUCUGACGUUAGCGGCGGACGGGUGAGUAACACGUGGAUAACCUACCUAUAAGACUGGGAUAACUUCGGGAAACCGGAGCUAAUACCGGAUAAUAUAUUGAACCGCAUGGUUCAAUAGUGAAAGACGGUUUUGCUGUCACUUAUAGAUGGAUCCGCACCGCAUUAGCUAGUUGGUAAGGUAACGGCUUACCAAGGCACCGAUGCGUAGCCGACCUGAGAGGGUGAUCGGCCACACGGGAACUGAGACACGGUCCAGACUCCGACGGGAGGCAGCAGUAGGGAAUCUUCCGCAAUGGGCGAAAGCCUGACGGAGCAACGCCGCGUGAGUGAUGAAGGUCUUCGGAUCGUAAAACUCUGUUAUUAGGGAAGAACAAAUGUGUAAGUAACUAUGCACGUCUUGACGGUACCUAAUCAGAAAGCCACGGCUAACUACGUG
RNAcentral lists this ribosomal RNA (497 nucleotides) under uncultured bacterium. Its description in RNAcentral is "partial 16S ribosomal RNA". It matches the Rfam family "Bacterial small subunit ribosomal RNA", at positions 28 to 507 of the family's 1533-position model. The record is from RNAcentral.